RNAcentral lists this ribosomal RNA (247 nucleotides) under uncultured bacterium. RNAcentral describes it as "partial 16S ribosomal RNA". It matches the Rfam family "Bacterial small subunit ribosomal RNA", at positions 523 to 769 of the family's 1533-position model. The record is from RNAcentral.
AUACGUAUGGUGCAAGCGUUAUCCGGAUUUACUGGGUGUAAAGGGAGUGUAGGUGGCAAGGCAAGUCAGAAGUGAAAGCCCGGGGCUCAACCCCGGGACUGCUUUUGAAACUGCUUGGCUAGAGUGCAGGAGAGGUAAGUGGAAUUCCUAGUGUAGCGGUGAAAUGCGUAGAUAUUAGGAGGAACACCAGUGGCGAAGGCGGCUUACUGGACUGUAACUGACACUGAGGCUCGAAAGCGUGGGGAGC